RNAcentral lists this ribosomal RNA (1337 nucleotides) under uncultured archaeon. RNAcentral's name for it is "16S ribosomal RNA". It matches the Rfam family "Archaeal small subunit ribosomal RNA", at positions 24 to 1339 of the family's 1478-position model. The record is from RNAcentral.
CGACUGCUAUCGGAGUGGGACUAAGCCAUGCGAGUCCUGCGUCCUCGGCUGCGGGGGCGCGGCGCACGGCUCAGUAACACGUAGUCAACCUGCCCUGGAGACGCGGAUAAUCCCGGGAAACUGGGGCUAAUCUGCGAUAGGCCUAGGGUGCUGGAAGGCCCUUAGGCCCAAAGGGGCAGGCGGGCAUGCUCCGUCCGUCCGCUCCAGGAUGGGACUGCGACCGAUCAGGUUGUUGGUGGGGUAAUGGCCCACCAAGCCUAUAACCGGUACGGGCUCUGAGAGGAGGAGCCCGGAGAUGGGCACUGAGACAAGGGCCCAGGCCCUACGGGGCGCAGCAGGCGCGAAACCUCCACAAUGCGCGAAAGCGCGAUGGGGUCACUCCGAGUGCCGCCCGCUGAGGGCGGCUUUUCCCGGGCCUAAAAAGCCCGGGGAAUAAGGGGAGGGCAAGCCUGGUGUCAGCCGCCGCGGUAAUACCAGCUCCCCGAGUGGUCGGGACGAUUAUUGGGCCUAAAGCAUCCGUAGCCGGCCCGGUAGGUCUCCUGUUAAAUCCAACGGCUCAACCGUUGGGCCGCAGGAGAUACCGCCGGGCUAGGGGGCGAGAGAGGCGGACGGUAUUCCGCGGGUAGGGGUAAAAUCCUCUGAUCCGCGGAGGACCACCAGUGGCGAAGGCGGUCCGCCAGAACGCGCCCGACGGUGAGGGAUGAAAGCUGGGGGAGCGAACCGGAUUAGAUACCCGGGUAGUCCCAGCUGUAAACGAUGCGGGCUAGGUGCUGGAAGGGCUACGGGCCCUUCUAGUGCCGCAGGGAAGCCGUUAAGCCCGCCGCCUGGGGAGUACGGCCGCAAGGUUGAAACUUAAAGGAAUUGGCGGGGGAGCACCACAAGGGGUGAAGCCUGCGGUUCAAUUGGAGUCAACGCCGGGAACCUUACCCGGGGUGACAGCAGGAUGAAGGUCAGGCUAAAGACUUUACCAGACGAGCUGAGAGGAGGUGCAUGGCCGUCGCCAGCUCGUGCCGUGAGGUGUCCUGUUAAGUCAGGCAACGAGCGAGACCCCCACCGCUAGUUGCUACUACCUCCCGAAAGGGAGGUGGGGCUAAUUAGCGGGACUGCCACCGCUAAGGUGGAGGAAGGAGGGGGCCACGGCAGGUCAGUAUGCCCCGAAACCCCGGGGCCACACGCGGGCUGCAAUGGUAGGGACAAUGGGAGCCGACCCCGAAAGGGAGAGGAAAUCCCUAAACCCUACCCCAGUUAUGACUGAGGGCUGCAACCCGCCCUCACGAAUCUGGAAUCCCUAGUAACCGCGCGUCAUCAUCGCGUGGUGAAUACGUCCCUGCUCCUUG